CGGGGCGUAGCGCAGCUUGGUAGCGCGCCUGCUUUGGGAGCAGGAUGUCGGAGGUUCAAAUCCUCUCGCCCCGACCA
This 77-nucleotide transfer RNA is filed under the name Acidithiobacillus sp. Its description in RNAcentral is "tRNA-Pro". It matches the Rfam family "tRNA". Rfam says of the family: Transfer RNA (tRNA) molecules are approximately 80 nucleotides in length. Their secondary structure includes four short double-helical elements and three loops (D, anti-codon, and T loops). The record is from RNAcentral. RNAcentral also lists the same sequence under 4 other names. Lineage: Bacteria; Pseudomonadati; Pseudomonadota; Acidithiobacillia; Acidithiobacillales; Acidithiobacillaceae.